CCUACGGGAGGCUGCAGUGGGGAAUAUUGGACAAUGGGCGAAAGCCUGAUCCAGCCAUGCCGCGUGUGUGAAGAAGGCCUUCGGGUUGUAAAGCACUUUCAGUGGGGAAGAAAGCCUUGGGGCUAAUACCCUCGAGGAAGGACAUCACCCACAGAAGAAGCACCGGCUAACUCCGUGCCAGCAGCCGCGGUAAUACGGAGGGUGCGAGCGUUAAUCGGAAUUACUGGGCGUAAAGCGCGCGUAGGCGGUCUGAUAAGCCGGUUGUGAAAGCCCCGGGCUCAACCUGGGAACGGCAUCCGGAACUGUCAGGCUAGGGUGCAGGAGAGGAAGGUAGAAUUCCCGGUGUAGCGGUGAAAUGCGUAGAGAUCGGGAGGAAUACCAGUGGCGAAGGCGGCCUUCUGGACUGACACUGACGCUGAGGUGCGAAAGCGUGGGUAGCAAACAGGAUUAGAUACCCGUGUAGUC
This 465-nucleotide ribosomal RNA is filed under the name Vreelandella stevensii. RNAcentral's name for it is "partial 16S ribosomal RNA". It matches the Rfam family "Bacterial small subunit ribosomal RNA", at positions 338 to 795 of the family's 1533-position model. The record is from RNAcentral. Lineage: Bacteria; Pseudomonadati; Pseudomonadota; Gammaproteobacteria; Oceanospirillales; Halomonadaceae.